CUACGGGUUGCUGCAGUGAGGAAUUAUGCGCAAUGGGGGAAACCCUGACGCAGCAACGCCGCGUGAGCGAAGAAGGCCCUCGGGUCGUAAAGCUCUGUCAAGUGGGAAAAAAAUCUUUUGAUCAAUUGUCAAAAGACUUGAUGGUACCACUGGAGGAAGCACCGGCUAACUCCGUGCCAGCAGCCGCGGUAAUACGGAGGGUGCAAGCGUUGUUCGGAUUUACUGGGCGUAAAGAGCGUGUAGGCGGUUUAGCAAGUCAGAUGUGAAAGCCCUGGGCUCAACCCGGGAAGUGCAUUUGAAACUGCUUCACUAGAGUAUGGGAGAGGAGAUUGGAAUUCCUGGUGUAGAGGUGAAAUUCGUAGAUAUCAGGAGGAACACCCGUGGCGAAGGCGAUUCUCUGGACCAAUACUGACGCUGAGACGCGAAAGCGUGGGGAGCAAACAGGAUUAGAUACCCCCGUAGUC
Molecule: ribosomal RNA, 464 nt
Filed under: uncultured bacterium
Lineage: Bacteria
Description: partial 16S ribosomal RNA
Rfam family: Bacterial small subunit ribosomal RNA
Source: RNAcentral